RNAcentral lists this transfer RNA (90 nucleotides) under Elusimicrobiota bacterium. RNAcentral's name for it is "Elusimicrobia bacterium (hot springs metagenome) tRNA-Ser". It matches the Rfam family "tRNA". Rfam says of the family: Transfer RNA (tRNA) molecules are approximately 80 nucleotides in length. Their secondary structure includes four short double-helical elements and three loops (D, anti-codon, and T loops). Further hydrogen bonds mediate the characteristic L-shaped molecular structure. tRNAs have two regions of fundamental functional importance: the anti-codon, which is responsible for specific mRNA codon recognition, and the 3' end, to which the tRNAs corresponding amino acid is attached (by aminoacyl-tRNA synthetases). tRNAs cope with the degeneracy of the genetic code in two manners: having more than one tRNA (with a specific anti-codon) for a particular amino acid; and 'wobble' base-pairing, i.e. permitting non-standard base-pairing at the 3rd anti-codon position. Lineage: Bacteria; Pseudomonadati; Elusimicrobiota. The record is from RNAcentral.
GGAAGGGUGGCCGAGCGGUUUAAGGCGCAGACCUGGAGAGUCUGUGUCCGAUUAUUCGUCGGACCGAGGGUUCGAAUCCCUCCCCUUCCG